GAUCGGAUCAAGCGCGAGAAGGGCGUUUGGUGGAUGCCUUGGCAGCAAGAGGCGAUGAAGGACGUGAUAAUCUGCGAUAAGCCUGGGGGAGCCGAUAAUAGGCCUUGAUCCCGGGAUCUCCGAAUGGGGCAACCCACCUGAAGAGUUUUUGUUGUUUUGUUGUUUGGCCGUUUGUGGACAUCACGUCCUCAGGCAGCGAAGCGAUAGGACAUCAAGGACUCUGACCAGGUACUUAUGACCUGAAUACAUAGGGACAUAAGAGCAAACCCGGGGAACUGAAACAUCUCAGUACCCGGAGGAAAGGAAAUCAACCGAUACUCCGUUAGUAGCGGCGAGCGAACGCGGACCAGCCGAGCAGUGAUCGUGAGCAGAACCAGUUGGGAAGCUGGGCGAUAUGGGUGACAGCCCCGUAUGCGAAGCGAGAUCUGACGUAUCAAGUAGGGCGGGACACGUGAAAUCCUGUCUGAAGAUCGGGGGACCACCCUCGAAGGCUAAGUACUCCUUGCUGACCGAUAGCGAACCAGUACCGUGAGGGAAAGGUGAAAAGCANNNNNNNNNNNNNNNNNNNNNNNNNNNNNNNNNNNNNNNNNNNNNNNNNNNNNNNNNNNNNNNNNNNNNNNNNNNNNNNNNNNNNNNNNNNNNNNNGCACCCCGACAAGGGGAGUGAAAAAGUUCCUGAAACCGGACGCCUACAAGCAGUCGGAGCCUCCCAUGUUCUUCGGAACGGGCGGGGUGACGGCGUACCUUUUGUAUAAUGGGUCAACGACUUGGUCUCACGAGCAAGCUUAAGCCGAUAGGUGUAGGCGCAGCGAAAGCGAGUCUUAAUAGGGCGUCCCUCUUCAUUGAGGAUCGAGUUCGUGGGAUCAGACCCGAAACCAGGUGAUCUAGGCAUGUGCAGGAUGAAGGUGCGGUAACACGCACUGGAGGUCCGAACCCACACCCGUUGAAAAGGGUCGGGAUGACGUGUGCCUAGGGGUGAAAGGCCAAUCAAACCUGGAGAUAGCUGGUUCUCCGCGAAAUCUAUUUAGGUAGAGCGUCGGAUGAAUGCCCUCGGGGGUAGAGCACUGGAUGGGUAAUGGGGUCCCACAGACUUACUGAUCCUAACCAAACUCCGAAUACCGAGGAGCACUGUCCGGCAGACACACUGCGGAUGCUAACGUCCGUAGUGGAGAGGGAAACAACCCUGACCUGCAGCUAAGGCCCCUAAUUCAUGGCUAAGUGGGAAAGCAUGUGAGACGACCAAAACAACCAGGAGGUUGGCUUAGAAGCAGCCAUCCUUUAAAGAUAGCGUAACAGCUCACUGGUCUAGACAAGUUGUCUUGCGGCGAAGAUGUACCGGGGCUCAAGCCAUGAGCCGAAGCUCAGGACUGCGCAAGCAGUGGUAGCGGAGCGUAGUGUUCAGUAACCCUGACCUCUUGAGAUUUUUUGUGUCCUGCCGGCCUUCGGCCUGCUUGAGGACGUUUUGGGCUUCGUGCCCGGACGCGCUCAGGUAGCGAAGCGGGUAGCGCAUCGAAAAUCUGCGGAGGUUGAGGGUUCAGCGACGAAGCGGCCCUGUGAGGGAGCCGUGGAGCGUUCACUAGCGAGAAUGUUGACAUGAGUAGCGAUAAACAGGGUGAGAGACCCUGUCGCCGAAAGUCCAAGGGUUCCUGCUUAAAGCUAAUCUGAGCAGGGUAAGCCGACCCCUAAGGCGAGGCCGAAAGGCGUAGUCGAUGGGAAUCAGGUUAAUAUUCCUGAGCCAGGAGGAUGUGACGGAUCGAAAGCGUAGUUGACCCUUAUCGGAUUGGGUCGGCUGCCGGACGGUUCCUGGAAAUAGCCCUCCAUCAGAUCGUACCCUAAACCGACACAGGUGGACUGGUAGAGCAUACCAAGGCGCUUGAGAGAACUGCAUUGAAGGAACUCGGCAAAAUGCCUCCGUAAGUUCGCGAGAAGGAGGCCCGGUUCGAAGGCAACUUCGGGCCGGGGGCACAGACUAGGGGGUGGCGACUGUUUACUAAAAACACAGGGCUCUGCGAAGUCGCAAGACGACGUAUAGGGUCUGACGCCUGCCCGGUGCCGGAAGGUUAAAAGGAGGUGUGCAAGCACCGAAUUGAAGCCCCGGUAAACGGCGGCCGUAACUAUAACGGUCCUAAGGUAGCGAAAUUCCUUGUCGGGUAAGUUCCGACCUGCACGAAUGGCGUAACGACUUCCCCGCUGUCUCCAAUGCAGACUCAGCGAAAUUGAAUUCCCCGUGAAGAUGCGGGGUACCCGCGGUCAGACGGAAAGACCCCGUGCACCUUUACUACAGCUUCAGACUGGCAUCAGGCCUGCGAUGUGCAGGAUAGGUGGUAGGCUUUGAACCGGGGACGCCAGUCCUCGGGGAGCCACCCUUGAGAUACCACCCUUCGUUCGCUUGAUGUCUAACCGCGGUCCGUCAUCCGGAUCCGGGACCCUCUGUGGCGGGUAGUUUGACUGGGGCGGUCGCCUCCCAAAGAGUAACGGAGGCGCGCGAUGGUGGGCUCAGGUUGGUCGGAAAUCAACCGUCGAGUGCAAUGGCAUAAGCCCGCCUGACUGCAAGACUGACAAGUCGAGCAGAGUCGAAAGACGGCCAUAGUGAUCCGGUGGUCCCGAGUGGAAGGGCCAUCGCUCAACGGAUAAAAGGUACGCCGGGGAUAACAGGCUGAUACUGCCCAAGAGUCCAUAUCGACGGCAGUGUUUGGCACCUCGAUGUCGGCUCAUCUCAUCCUGGGGCUGGAGCAGGUCCCAAGGGUACGGCUGUUCGCCGUUUAAAGAGGUACGUGAGCUGGGUUUAGAACGUCGUGAGACAGUUCGGUCCCUAUCUGCCGUGGGUGUCGGAGACUUGAGAGGAGUUGCCCCUAGUACGAGAGGACCGGGGUGAACGCACCACUGGUGGACCUGUUGUCGUGCCAACGGCAGUGCAGGGUAGCUAUGUGCGGACAGGAUAACCGCUGAAGGCAUCUAAGCGGGAAGCCCCCCUCAAAACCAGGUCUCCCUGAGGGGCGUGGAAGACCACCACGUCGAUAGGCCGGAGAUGUAAGCGCGGCAACGCGUUCAGUUGACCGGUACUAAUCCCCCGAUAGGCUUGAUCCCGAUCCGG
Molecule: ribosomal RNA, 3093 nt
Filed under: Halovulum marinum
Lineage: Bacteria; Pseudomonadati; Pseudomonadota; Alphaproteobacteria; Rhodobacterales; Paracoccaceae
Description: Rhodobacteraceae bacterium 2CG4 23S ribosomal RNA
Rfam family: Bacterial large subunit ribosomal RNA
Source: RNAcentral